RNAcentral lists this ribosomal RNA (492 nucleotides) under uncultured bacterium. RNAcentral's name for it is "partial 16S ribosomal RNA". It matches the Rfam family "Bacterial small subunit ribosomal RNA", at positions 29 to 507 of the family's 1533-position model. The record is from RNAcentral.
AGUGAACGCUGGCGGUAGGCCUAACACAUGCAAGUCGAACGGCAGCACAGUAAGAGCUUGCUCUUACGGGUGGCGAGUGGCGGACGGGUGAGGAAUACAUCGGAAUCUACUUUUUCGUGGGGGAUAACGUAGGGAAACUUACGCUAAUACCGCAUACGACCUACGGGUGAAAGCAGGGGAUCUUCGGACCUUGCGCGAUUGAAUGAGCCGAUGUCGGAUUAGCUAGUUGGCGGGGUAAAGGCCCACCAAGGCGGCGAUCCGUAGCUGGUCUGAGAGGAUGUUCAGCCACACUGGAACUGAGUCGCGGACCGGACUCCUACGGGAUGCAGCAGUGGAGAAUAUUGGACAAUGGGCGCAAGCCUGAUCCAGCCAUACCGCGUGGGUGAAGAAGGCCUUCGGGUUGUAAAGCCUUUUUGUUGGGAAAGAAAAGCAGCAGGUUGAUACCCCGCUGUUCUGACGGUACCCAAAGAAUAGGCACCGGCUAACUUCGUG